RNAcentral lists this long non-coding RNA (354 nucleotides) under Sinocyclocheilus grahami. RNAcentral describes it as "lncRNA (ENSSGRG00000026200.1)". The record is from RNAcentral. Lineage: Eukaryota; Metazoa; Chordata; Actinopteri; Cypriniformes; Cyprinidae.
AAGCUUGGUUAUCUUUUUUUCUCCCUGGACUGUGUGUAAAGGGGGAUGUUGGACAAGUUGGGCCACCAGGACCACAAGGUAUCAAAGGAGAUCAAGGUGAUAAAGGUGAAAAGGGCAGUCCUGGAUUUGGAAUCCCCGGUCAGCCUGGUCCCAAAGGAGAGAGUGGAGAAAGAGGUAAUGUUGGAUUAUCAGGGAAACCUGGGCCUAAAGGCAGCGAUGGGUCCAAAGGAGAGAAAGGGGAGGUGGGCUUCCCAGGCAACCCUGGUUCUCCAGGACUAAGAGGUAAAGAUGGUCUGCCAGGACCGAUAGGAGAGAUGGGAUUGAGGGUGAGAAUCAACAACAAGCACAGAGAGA